Molecule: ribosomal RNA, 433 nt
Filed under: uncultured bacterium
Lineage: Bacteria
Description: partial 16S ribosomal RNA
Rfam family: Bacterial small subunit ribosomal RNA
Source: RNAcentral
AACGAACGCUGGCGGCACGCCUAACACAUGCAAGUCGAACGAGACCUUCGGGUCUAGUGGCGCACGGGUGCGUAACGCGUGGGAACCUGCCCUUAGGUUCGGAAUAACUCCCCGAAAGGGGUGCUAAUACCGGAUAAUGUCUUCGGACCAAAGAUUUAUCGCCUUUGGAUGGGCCCGCGUUGGAUUAGCUAGUUGGUAGGGUAAAAGCCUACCAAGGCGACGAUCCAUAGCUGGUCUGAGAGGAUGAUCAGCCACACUGGGACUGAGACACGGCCCAGACUCCUACGGGAGGCAGCAGUGGGGAAUAUUGGACAAUGGGCGAAAGCCUGAUCCAGCAAUGCCGCGUGAGUGAUGAAGGCCUUAGGGUUGUAAAGCUCUUUUUCCCGGGAUGAUAAUGACAGUACCGGGAGAAUAAGCUCCGGCUAACUCCGUG